AGAGAAAAGCUAUCGUCUCACUGGACGCGCAUCUGCAAAGGUUAUACUUCGAUGAGGAGGGUGAGUGCAGUUCCGUUCGUUGAUGUAGUUCAAAAUGACUCAAUUUUGUGUCUGUCAACCUGUGGCGUGUAAACGUUGAGGUACAGACAAUCCUCGCUGCCUGAUAUGCUGCCUAACGCCUGGGGACAUACGCUUCCAUCUCUAGUG
Neodiprion virginianus is the source of this 207-nucleotide long non-coding RNA. RefSeq lists it as uncharacterized. The record is from RefSeq and is a predicted model, not a curated record. Lineage: Eukaryota; Metazoa; Arthropoda; Insecta; Hymenoptera; Diprionidae. The transcript is spliced from 3 exons.